UAUACCUAUUCGAAGGGAUAGGGUCGGUUCGGCCGGGUUUCACACAGGUGUUGCAUGGCUGUCGUCAGCUCGUGUCGUGAGAUGUUGGGUUAAGUCCCGCAACGAGCGCAACCCUCAUCCUUAGUUACCAUCAAGUAAUGCUGGGGACUUUAAGGAAACUGCCAGUGAUAAACUGGAGGAAGGUGGGGAUGAUGUCAAGUCAUCAUGGCCCUUAUGGAGUGGGCUACACACGUGCUACAAUGGUGGCUACAAUGGGCUGCAAAGUCGCGAGGCUAAGCUAAUCCCUUAAAAGCCAUCUCAGUUCGGAUUGUACUCUGCAACUCGAGUGCAUGAAGUUGGAAUCGCUAGUAAUCGUGGAUCAGCACGCCACGGUGAAUACGUUUUCGGGUCUUGUACACACUGCCCGUCACGCCAUGGGAAUUGGUUUCACUCGAAGCU
RNAcentral lists this ribosomal RNA (438 nucleotides) under Wolbachia endosymbiont of Bactrocera zonata. RNAcentral's name for it is "bacterial SSU rRNA". It matches the Rfam family "Bacterial small subunit ribosomal RNA", at positions 992 to 1428 of the family's 1533-position model. Lineage: Bacteria; Pseudomonadati; Pseudomonadota; Alphaproteobacteria; Rickettsiales; Anaplasmataceae. The record is from RNAcentral.